GUUUUUUCCAGGGACCCAGGUAAAGACUGCCUUGAUACAGAGAAGAUCAGCAUGGCCCUGAGCAAGGAUGACUCACAGAUUUGUGACGUUCAUUCUUUGCUU
Molecule: small nuclear RNA, 102 nt
Organism: Microtus ochrogaster (prairie vole)
Lineage: Eukaryota; Metazoa; Chordata; Mammalia; Rodentia; Cricetidae
Source: Ensembl